Molecule: long non-coding RNA, 464 nt
Filed under: Toxoplasma gondii VEG
Lineage: Eukaryota; Apicomplexa; Conoidasida; Eucoccidiorida; Sarcocystidae
Source: RNAcentral
GGGCUUAUGGUGGGGAUUUCACAUAUAAGCAGGCCUCUCAAAUAUGCAAAAUGCAAUCGGUGGAGUUGGAUUUUUGCUGACGGGUCUAGGUACGAGGGGGACAGAGGAAAUGAUACAACAUCUAUUCUGUCUAGCAAUACGUGUGCAUCAGCUGGGAGGGCGCGGAUGAGAUUAAACCUCCGAGGCCACCGCCUACCUCAGUCACUCCUUUUCAUUUGUGUUUGGCUUUAUCAGUCAACCUGAGUCGUUAAACAUGCGUAGGAGGUUUUGGAUAUGGGUUGCCUUGUCUCAACUAUUAUAUGAAGUUACGAACGCCCACGAGAUACAACUACGAUGCCCUCAGCGUCCACUGGGAGGGGCGUCAGCCUGUGCUCCAGGUGGCUCACAAGAAAUAAUUUUCUUGUCUUUCUCUCCUGGUCGUUGGGUCUUCCAGUGGGAAGUGCACUCGACUGUCACCGCUCAUC